AGAGAGUGCGAGCGUUAAUCGGAAUUACUGGGCGUAAAGCGCGUGUAGGUGGAUGCUUAAGUCGACUGUGAAAGCCCCGGGCUUAACCUGGGAAUUGCAAUCGAGACUGGGCAACUAGAGUAUGGUAGAGGGAAGUGGAAUUUCCGGUGUAGCGGUGAAAUGCGUAGAUAUCGGAAGGAACACCAGUGGCGAAGGCGGCUUCCUGGACCAAUACUGACACUGAGACGCGAAAGCGUGGGGAGCAAACAGGGAUUAGAGACCCUGGUAGUCCACGCCGUCAACGAUGAGAACUAGAUGUUGGGAGGGUUACCUCUUAGUAUCGAAGCUAACGCGUUAAGUUCUCCGCCUGGGGAGUACGGCCGCAAGGUUA
RNAcentral lists this ribosomal RNA (370 nucleotides) under uncultured organism. RNAcentral describes it as "partial 16S ribosomal RNA". It matches the Rfam family "Bacterial small subunit ribosomal RNA", at positions 527 to 896 of the family's 1533-position model. The record is from RNAcentral.